UACGGGGGGGGGUAAGCGUUGUUCGGAAUUACUGGGCGUAAAGGGCUCGUAGGCGGCCAACUAAGUCAUACGUGAAAUCCCUCAGCUUAACUGGGGAACUGCGUGUGAUACUGGAUGGCUUGGAUUUGGGAGAGGGAUGCGGAAUUCCAGGUGUAGCGGUGAAAUGCGCAGAUAUCAGGAGGAACACCGGUGGCGAAGGCGGCGACCUGGUCCAAUACUGACACUCAUACACGAAAGCGUGGGGAUCAAACAGG
RNAcentral lists this ribosomal RNA (254 nucleotides) under uncultured bacterium. RNAcentral describes it as "partial 16S ribosomal RNA". It matches the Rfam family "Bacterial small subunit ribosomal RNA", at positions 524 to 776 of the family's 1533-position model. The record is from RNAcentral.